Molecule: ribosomal RNA, 757 nt
Filed under: uncultured archaeon
Lineage: Archaea
Description: bacterial SSU rRNA
Rfam family: Archaeal small subunit ribosomal RNA
Source: RNAcentral
GGAUAACCUACCCUUAGGACUGGGAUAACCCUGGGAAACUGGGGAUAAUACUAGAUAGGCAAUUUUUCCUGGAAUGGUUUUUUGUUUAAAUGUUUUUUCGCCUAAGGAUGGGUCUGCGGCCGAUUAGGUAGUUGGUUAGGUAAUGGCUUACCAAGCCGUUGAUCGGUACGGGUUGUGAGAGCAAGAGCCCGGAGAUGGAACCUGAGACAAGGUUCCAGGCCCUACGGGGUGCAGCAGGCGCGAAACCUCCGCAAUGUGAGAAAUCGCGACGGGGGGAUCCCAAGUGCCAUUCUUAACGGGAUGGCUUUUCAUUAGUGUAAAGAGCUUUUGGAAUAAGGGCUGGGCAAGACCGGUGCCAGCCGCCGCGGUAACACCGGCAGCUCUAGUGGUAGCAGUUUUUAUUGGGCCUAAAGCGUCCGUAGCCGGCUUAAUAAGUCUCUGGUGAAAUCCUGUAGCUUAACUGUGGGAAUUGCUGGAGAUACUAUUAGACUUGAGACCGGGAGAGGUUAGAGGUACUCCCAGGGUAGAGGUGAAAUUCUGUAAUCCUGGGAGGACCGCCUGUUGCGAAGGCGUCUAACUGGAACGGUUCUGACGGUGAGGGACGAAAGUUAGGGGCGCGAACCGGAUUAGAUACCCGGGUAGUCCUAACUGUAAACGAUGCGGACUUGGUGUUGGGGUGGCUUUGAGCUGCUUCAGUGCCGAAAGGGAAGCUGUUAAGUCCGCCGCCUGGGAAGUACGUCGCAAGACUGAAACUUAA